Molecule: unclassified non-coding RNA, 595 nt
Filed under: Hevea brasiliensis (rubber tree)
Lineage: Eukaryota; Viridiplantae; Streptophyta; Magnoliopsida; Malpighiales; Euphorbiaceae
Source: RNAcentral
UCCACCAUACUACUACAAAUCACCACCACCCCCAUCACCAUCACCACCCCCUCCCUACUACUAUCACUCUCCACCUCCACCCGUGAAGUCUCCUCCUCCUCCAUACUACUACAGCUCACCUCCCCCACCCGUAAAAUCACCUCCUCCUCCAGUAUACAUCUAUGGUUCUCCGCCACCACCAGUCCACUACUAAGCAGUUGGAAAAGCUUGGCCAUUUUCCACAACCACUCAAAUUUCAGUUUCAGUCACAAAAUAAGUGAUGGGUUCUUGAGGAGAAGAUUAAUAGUUCCAUGUUCAAAUGCAAUUAAUAAGAUGUUCAACUUUGCAAUUGAGAGGUUGAUUCCUAGUGACUUGGACCACUUUGCUUCUGCUUCUCUGGUUUCCUUAUUACACAUUGUUCUCUGUGUGUCUUCACGUGGAAAGUGGCUUAAAUAGUUGGAAAUAGUAAUUAUACAUCAUCUAGUGUACAAUUUCAUAUGUUGCUUCUUUAUAGUAAUAAUAAUUUAUUAUUAUUAUAUGUAUAGGCUUUGUAAUUUGAUUCGUUUUGCUCUUAAUUAUUGUUGGCCGUCUCCUAGUGCCUACUUGUGCUUUUGUG